Molecule: ribosomal RNA, 253 nt
Filed under: uncultured bacterium
Lineage: Bacteria
Description: partial 16S ribosomal RNA
Rfam family: Bacterial small subunit ribosomal RNA
Source: RNAcentral
UACGGAGGGGGCAAGCGUUGUUCGGAAUUAUUGGGCGUAAAGCGUAUGUAGGCGGCCGGUCAAGUCAGACGUGUAAGCCCACGGCUCAACCGUGGAAUUGCGUUUGAAACUGUCCGGCUUGAGUACGGGAGAGGAAAGCGGAAUUCCCAGUGUAGCGGUGAAAUGCAUUGAUAUUGGGAAGAACAUCUGUGGCGAAGGCGGCUUUCUGGCCCGAUACUGACGCUGAGAUACGAAAGCCAGGGGAGCGAACGGG